Molecule: ribosomal RNA, 440 nt
Filed under: uncultured bacterium
Lineage: Bacteria
Description: partial 16S ribosomal RNA
Rfam family: Bacterial small subunit ribosomal RNA
Source: RNAcentral
CCUACGGGAGGCAGCAGUGGGGGAUAUUGCACAAUGGGGGGAACCCUGAUGCAGCGACGCCGCGUGGGUGAAGAAGCGCCUCGGCGCGUAAAGCCCUGUCAGCAGGGAAGAAAAUGACGGGACCUGAAGAAGAAGCCCCGGCUAACUACGUGCCAGCAGCCGCGGUAAUACGUAGGGGGCAAGCGUUAUCCGGAUUUACUGGGUGGAAAGGGGGCGCAGACGGCGAUGCAAGCCAGGAGUGAAAGCCCGGGGCCCAACCCCGGGACUGCUCUUGGAACUGCGUGGCUGGAGUGCAGGAGGGGAAGGCGGAAUGCCUGGUGUAGGGGUGAAAUGCGUAGAUAUCAGGAGGAACACCGGUGGCGAAGGCGGCCUGCUGGACUGCAACUGACGUUGAGGCCCGAAAGCGUGGGGAGCAAACAGGAUUAGAUACCCCAGUAGUC